RNAcentral lists this ribosomal RNA (253 nucleotides) under uncultured bacterium. RNAcentral describes it as "partial 16S ribosomal RNA". It matches the Rfam family "Bacterial small subunit ribosomal RNA", at positions 524 to 776 of the family's 1533-position model. The record is from RNAcentral.
UACGUAGGGUGCAAGCGUUAAUCGGAAUUACUGGGCGUAAAGCGUGCGCAGGCGGUUAUGCAAGACAGAUGUGAAAUCCCCGGGCUUAACCUGGGAACCGCAUUUGUGACUGCAUAGCUGGAGUACGGCAGAGGGGGAUGGAAUUCCGCGUGUAGCAGUGAAAUGCGUAGAUAUGCGGAGGAACACCGAUGGCGAAGGCAGUCCCCUGGGCCUGUACUGACGCUCAUGCACGAAAGUGUGGGGAUCAAACAGG